Molecule: long non-coding RNA, 514 nt
Filed under: Gossypium barbadense (sea-island cotton)
Lineage: Eukaryota; Viridiplantae; Streptophyta; Magnoliopsida; Malvales; Malvaceae
Description: long non-coding RNA (GBAR_LNC013346)
Source: RNAcentral
AAAAACGACGAACCUCGGCCUCCCACGACAGUGCAAAACGAGGCAAAACGGUAAGUUUUCAAUCCCUUUUUAUUUCCUGUUUUUCUUCCUAAAAAAUGAAAACGAAGAAAAGAAAAAAAAAAGAAUAAUAACAAAGAAAUAAACUCUCUCGAAGUCUCUUUUUUGCGUUUGAAUUUUUUUAAUUUUUGUAUUGAAUUUAUGUAAAAAGUACAACUUGUGUGUGAUGGCUUUUUAUAGCCGAAAAUACAAUAUUUUGCUACUGUUUCUUUUUGCCUCUAUGUCUGUCCUUCUUUUCUAUCUUACUCGCAGGUACGGAAGUCGACGUGGCGGUGGUGGUGCGCGGGUUAGGUGCGGUGGCAGCAAGCUAGGGUUUCAUAUUUGUUUCCUGAAAAUAUUGUGGGCUAGGGUUAAGUUUUAGGUUGUUGGGUUUGAAUUGGGUUUAGUAAUGUGGGCCCGUUGGGUUUGUUGUAAAUGGAACUUUUUUUUUUGGGGUUUUAUUUUUUGUAUGGUCUUG